Molecule: transfer RNA, 71 nt
Filed under: Loxodonta africana (African savanna elephant)
Lineage: Eukaryota; Metazoa; Chordata; Mammalia; Proboscidea; Elephantidae
Rfam family: tRNA
About the family: Transfer RNA (tRNA) molecules are approximately 80 nucleotides in length. Their secondary structure includes four short double-helical elements and three loops (D, anti-codon, and T loops).
Source: Rfam by way of RNAcentral
GCAGUGGUGGCUCAGCGGUAGAAUUCUCGCCUUCCAUGUGGGAGACCAGGGUUCCAUUCCCACCCAAUGCA